UGUCAAUACAAGUUGGAUGGGUGUCA
RNAcentral lists this non-coding RNA (26 nucleotides) under Mus musculus (house mouse). The record is from RNAcentral. Lineage: Eukaryota; Metazoa; Chordata; Mammalia; Rodentia; Muridae.